RNAcentral lists this ribosomal RNA (498 nucleotides) under uncultured bacterium. Its description in RNAcentral is "partial 16S ribosomal RNA". It matches the Rfam family "Bacterial small subunit ribosomal RNA", at positions 30 to 523 of the family's 1533-position model. The record is from RNAcentral.
AUUGAACGCUGGCGGCAUGCCUUACACAUGCAAGUCGAACGGUAACAGGUCUUCGGAUGCUGACGAGUGGCGAACGGGUGAGUAAUACAUCGGAACGUGCCUAGUAGUGGGGGAUAACUACUCGAAAGAGUGGCUAAUACCGCAUGAGAUCUACGGAUGAAAGCAGGGGAUCGCAAGACCUUGUGCUACUAGAGCGGCCGAUGGCAGAUUAGGUAGUUGGUGGGAUAAAAGCUUACCAAGCCGACGAUCUGUAGCUGGUCUGAGAGGACGAUCAGCCACACUGGGACUGAGACUCGGCCCAGACUCCUACGGGAGGAAGCAGUGGGGAAUUUUGGACAAUGGGCGCAAGCCUGAUCCAGCAAUGCCGCGUGCAGGAUGAAGGCCUUCGGGUUGUAAACUGCUUUUGUACGGAACGAAAAGCCCCGGGUUAAUACCCUGGGGUCAUGACGGUACCGUAAGAAUAAGCACCGGCUAGCUACGUGCCAGCCGCCGCGGUAA